This 331-nucleotide ribosomal RNA is filed under the name uncultured prokaryote. RNAcentral's name for it is "bacterial SSU rRNA". It matches the Rfam family "Bacterial small subunit ribosomal RNA", at positions 119 to 511 of the family's 1533-position model. The record is from RNAcentral.
AGGAAUCUACCCUAAAGAUGGGCAUAGCUUGUCGAAAGACGAGGUAAUACCCAAUGUGAACGCAAGUUCAAAGACGUAAGUCGCUUUAGGAUGAGCCUGCGGCCUAUCAGGUAGUUGGUGGGGUAAUGGCCUACCAAGCCUAUGACGGGUAGCUGAUCUGAUGAGGAUGAUCAGCCAGAGGGGGACUGCGACACGGCCCCCACACCUACGGGUGGCAGCAGCCGGGAAUUUUGCGCAAUGGACGAAAGUCUGACGCAGCGACGCCGCGUGCGGGAUGAAGGCCUUCGGGUUGUAAACCGACAUCAAAAAGCAUUGGCUAACUACGUGCCAG